UGCGUCCCAGAGCUCCACAAUAAAAAGAACUCACAGCAAUGUGCAUGAGUGCGUCCCAGAGCUCCACAAUAAAAAGAACUCACAGCAAUGUGCAUGAGUGCGUCCCAGAGCUCCACAAUAAGAAUAAAUCACAGCAAUGUGCAUGAGUGCGUCCCAGAGCUCCACAAUAAGAAUAACUCACAGCAAUGUGCAUGAGUGCGUCCCAGAGCUCCACAAUAAGAAUAACUCACAGCAAUGUGCAUGAGUACG
Pelobates cultripes (western spadefoot toad) is the source of this 249-nucleotide non-coding RNA. The record is from the annotation of a GenBank genome assembly. Lineage: Eukaryota; Metazoa; Chordata; Amphibia; Anura; Pelobatidae.